RNAcentral lists this transfer RNA (86 nucleotides) under Glaciimonas soli. RNAcentral's name for it is "Glaciimonas sp. GS1 tRNA-Tyr". It matches the Rfam family "tRNA". Rfam says of the family: Transfer RNA (tRNA) molecules are approximately 80 nucleotides in length. Their secondary structure includes four short double-helical elements and three loops (D, anti-codon, and T loops). Lineage: Bacteria; Pseudomonadati; Pseudomonadota; Betaproteobacteria; Burkholderiales; Oxalobacteraceae. The record is from RNAcentral.
GGGGAGGUGGUCGAGUGGUUAAUGGCAUCAGACUGUAAAUCUGACCUCGAGAGAGUACGCUGGUUCGAAUCCAGCCCUCCCCACCA